CAGAGAACUUGCCCUUCGGGGUAGAUCUCCCACCCUGUGCUUACUUGCCUUUGUUGCUUUGGCAGGCCCGCCCCGCCCCGUGCGGGGCCGCCGGCUCCGGCUGGUCAGCGCCUGCCAGAGGACCUGAAACUCUUGUUGUCUAUGUCGUCUGAGUACUAUAUAAUAGUUA
RNAcentral lists this unclassified non-coding RNA (169 nucleotides) under uncultured Leotiomycetes. Its description in RNAcentral is "sequence contains ITS1". The record is from RNAcentral. Lineage: Eukaryota; Fungi; Ascomycota; Leotiomycetes.